AAUUAUAUAUAAACAAUAUCAACAUAUGAAUAUUCAUAAAUCAAAAUAUUGAUAAAUUUAUAGUCGUGAUAAUCAAACAAAUAAUUACACAUAAACUGUCAUCAAAAAGGAAGUAUUUAUGAAUGAAAUAAAUCAGGAUUAGGAUUGGAAUCUGUUUUAUUAACAGUCAUCAAAAAGGAAGAAUUUAUGAAUGAAAUAAAUCAGGAGUAGGAUUGGAAUCUGUUUUAUUAACAGUCAUCAAAAAGGAAGUAUUUAUGAAUGAAAUAAAUCAGGAUUAGGAUUGGAAUCUGUUUUAUUAACAGUCAUCAAAAAGGAAGAAUUUGUGAAUGAAAUAAAUUAUGAUUGUAAUCUGUUAUAUUUUUUAUUAUAAUGUAAACUGAUAUACACGCUUUAACACAAUCAAAUCUGUAAUAUUUCUAAUAUUCAUGUAAUAACUUAUAAUCACACUUUGAUCAUAAUCGACAAAAGUGUAGUUUUGGUCCUGAUGCUGAUAUAUAUAUUAAACUCCUUGGAUGAGAAGUGGCAUCCAGUGUUCUAGAGAGAGUAAGCUCACUGUGUGAACCAUCAGACAAUAAGUGGUAUCCGGUGUUCAAGAAAGAGUAAGCUCACUGUGUAAACUCCUCGUAUUCGUAUAAGAAGUGGCAUCCAGUGUUCUAGAGAGAGUAAGCUCACUGUGUGAACCAUCAAACGAUAAGUGGUAUCCGGUGUUCAAGAAAGAGUAAGCCCACUGUUAAAACUCCUCGUAUGAGAAGUGGCAUCCAGUGUUCUAGAGAGAGUAAGCUCACUGUGUGAACCAUCAAACGAUAAGUGGUAUCUGGUGUUCAAGAAGGCGUAAGCUCACUGUGUAAACUCCUCGUAUGAGAAGUGGCAUCCAGUGUUCUAGAGAGAGUGUUAUUGGAUGUUAAAGAAAGAGAAAACAUACCACUUAUAAUUACACUUUGGUCAGUAUCUACCAAAAUAUAUUUUUGAUACUGAAACUGCUAAAUAGCUGUUGGUAGAUAAUACUGUGAAAUAUACAGUGAUAAAAUAUAAACUGUGACGAUUCAAAAACGAAUAGAUUGCGUGGUUUUAUGCUAUUCUAGUUUUAAAUAAAAUCUGUGAACAAUUCUUGAUAGAUAUUACUGAAUGUUAGGAAAUAUAACAAAGAAUUGUUAGCUUGUUGUUAUGUAGGCUCAUCAAUGAGGAGUGGUAUCAGAUGUUCUAGAGAACGAGUAAACAUACAAUGUGAACUCCUCGAAUGAUAAGUGGCAUCAAGUGUUCUAGAGAGUAAGCAUACUGUGUGAACUCAUCAAAUGAGAAGUGAUAGGAGGUGGUCUAGAAAGAGAACAUACUAGGUGAACUCGUCAUCAUACAAGAAGUGACAUAAGGUGUUCUAGAGAGUAAGCAUACUAGAUGAACACAUCAAAUGAGAAGUGAUAUGAGGUGUUAUAUAUAUAGUAAGCAUAUUACAUUUAUGUGACCUCCUGAAGUGACAUCAGGUGUUCGAGAAAGAGUAAGCAUAAAACGCGAUACCAGGUGUUCCAGAAUUAUUAAACAUACUAUGUGAAUUGCUUAAACGAGGAGUGGUAUCAAGUGAACGAAUAAUAUAAUCGGGAAAUUUAGAAAUUCGUAUGUGCAAAGAUACAUAUAAAUGAUAAGUGAUAUUGGAUGUUCUAUAAUUGUUAGGAUUUAAUCAUGUGGUGUGGUUCUGCUAAAAGUACAGGUCGACAGAGGUUGAGGUCGGACAGUGAAUGUUCCAGUUAUGAUGAAGAAUAUAAAAUAGUUGUUGUUGGUUCAGCUGAUGUCGGUAAAACAGCUUUGUGUCAGUGUUUUGUGAAUGUUGAAGACAAUCAAAGACAGAAUUUACAGAAAACGUCAAAAGGAAGACGAGCUGAGUUUAACACGUGGGAGGCAGUGGAUGGCGAUACAUGUUGUAUUAGAUUGUUCGAACUGCGCAUGUCUGCCCAGGGCGAUGAUGAUGAACAGAUUGUGAAGUCAUUAACCCAGGGAGCAGAUGGGUUUUUGUUGAUAUAUUCUAUAUGUGAUAUGGGAAGUUUCCAGUCCACAAUCAAGGUGAACAGUAUGUUACAGAAAUUACGAGGGAAUAUAGAAACCCCGCUAGUAUUAGUUGGCAAUAAGGCAGAUGGAAUGAGCGGACGUCAAGUUACAGUGUCAUGUGGUAGAGACCUUGCUUUUGAUCUGGGAUCUGCUUUCUACGAAACUUCCCGUUAUUUUGAUAGUCACCAUAUUACAAAUAUAUUUCAUGACGUCAUACGCCAAGUUCGGUGCGUGCGAACGAGAACAAAAUUUCAGGAACAGACUUUUACGAAAGUUCGCGGUUUUAUUCAUAGACUUAGUUUCAAGGGGAAACGAAAAUCUUUAAAAUCAGCACCAACGAGCUGAUUCUAUUAAACGACAUUGGUAUUUAUUAUAAAAUCAACUUUUAUUUAUUUAUUUUGUGUAUUUAGUAUACAUUGGAAAAGGUCCCUGUGUUUUUAUUGGAGAAAUAUGCCCCUAUGUUUUUAAUUGCUAUGUUGGUGAUAUAUGUCUCUGUGAAUUCCGAUAAAUUAUGUUUUAUUAAAACUGACCUUUGA
This is a long non-coding RNA of Patella vulgata (common limpet), 2573 nucleotides long. RefSeq lists it as uncharacterized. The transcript has 5 exons. The record is from RefSeq and is a predicted model, not a curated record. NCBI's taxonomy places the organism in Eukaryota, Metazoa, Mollusca, Gastropoda, Patellidae.